RNAcentral lists this microRNA precursor (57 nucleotides) under Rattus norvegicus (Norway rat). Lineage: Eukaryota; Metazoa; Chordata; Mammalia; Rodentia; Muridae. The record is from RNAcentral.
UAUCUAGUUGGCUGUCAGUCACGUGAAACUCAAGUGCAUGACACCAUACUGGGUAGA